RNAcentral lists this long non-coding RNA (439 nucleotides) under Monodon monoceros (narwhal). Its description in RNAcentral is "lncRNA (ENSMMNG00015009692.1)". The record is from RNAcentral. Lineage: Eukaryota; Metazoa; Chordata; Mammalia; Artiodactyla; Monodontidae.
GCAAAGAGCGCAGGAGCCUCCGGGGGAUGAGAAUGUUCUAGGGGGGCUGAACUCUGGGCUAUUUGAGGGGCCCUUGAAUGAAUGGAUGCACUGCUUUCUGGGCAAACGGCCACAGCCAAAGGACAGUGUGAUUUCAAGAAAGAAGUCGGGGAACACGGGUCUCCUGCACAACCUCGAGUGGUCUGAAGUCACCGAACGCUUGGGAACACCUGGGCAGAGAAGACCGGCCACAAGGUGUUUCCAGCUGUGUUUGGGAACUGAUUGGCCAAGGACCCACACUGGAGAGCUUUGGGCAUCGUAACAGUGAACGGUAAGGGACACGGGAUCUGAACUCAUCUCUCCAAAGGGCAUCAGUGGGGGACGAGGAUGAGGUGGGUGCACUGUCAGUGCGGCUGUCCCUGGGUUUGGAAAUACGGUCGGAACCACGUUCGCAGCACUA